CACGUAGUUAGCCGGAGCUUAUUCCUCAGGUACCGUCAAAUUCCUCUUUCUUCCCUGAUAAAAGAACUUUACAUUACGAAUAACUUCUUCGUUCACGCGGCGUUGCUCGGUCGAGGGUUCCCCCCACUUGCCGAAAAUUCCCUACUGCUGCCUCCCGUAGGAGUAUGGACCGUUCUCAGUUCCAUUGUGGCCGUUCAACCUCUCAGUCCGGCUACGCAUCAUCGCCUUGGUAGGCCCUUACCCCACCAACUAGCUAAUGCGCCACAGGCCCCUCCUUAAGCAGAUCUCUCUUUUAAAUAUAAAAGAUUCUUCCUCUAUAUCCUAUCCAGUUUUAUCCAUCGUUUCCAAUGGCUAUCCUCGUCUUAAGGGUAGGUUACCCUAUGUAUUACUCACCCGUUCGCCACUAAAGUACCCGAAGGUACCUUACCGUUCGACCUUGCCAUGUAUUAGCACGCCGCCAGCGUUAAGUCCCUGUACGCCUAGGACUCAAAACUACU
This 497-nucleotide ribosomal RNA is filed under the name uncultured Anaeroplasma sp. Its description in RNAcentral is "partial 16S ribosomal RNA". Lineage: Bacteria; Bacillati; Mycoplasmatota; Mollicutes; Anaeroplasmatales; Anaeroplasmataceae. The record is from RNAcentral.